This 465-nucleotide ribosomal RNA is filed under the name uncultured bacterium. RNAcentral describes it as "partial 16S ribosomal RNA". It matches the Rfam family "Bacterial small subunit ribosomal RNA", at positions 338 to 795 of the family's 1533-position model. The record is from RNAcentral.
CCUACGGGCGGCUGCAGUGGGGAAUAUUGCGCAAUGGGCGAAAGCCUGACGCAGCGACGCCGCGUGAGGGAUGAAGGUCCUCGGAUCGUAAACCUCUGUCAGCAGGGAAGAACGGUCACGGAGCUAAUCAGCAGUGAAUUGACGGUACCUGCAAAGGAAGCACCGGAUAACGCCGGGCCAGCAGCCGCGGUAAUACGGAGGGUGCGAGCGUUAAUCGGAAUUACUGGGCGUAAAGCGCUCGUAGGCGGUAUGUCAAGUCAAGGGUGAAAUCCCCGCGCUUAACGUGGGAACUGCCUUUGAAACUGGCAAGCUGGAGUGUGGGAGAGGUUAGUGGAAUUCCAGGUGUAGGAGUGAAAUCCGUAGAUAUCUGGAGGAACAUCAGUGGCGAAGGCGACUAUCUGGAACAUAACUGACGCUGAGGAGCGAAAGCGUGGGUAGCAAACAGGAUUAGAUACCCCAGUAGUC